Molecule: ribosomal RNA, 253 nt
Filed under: uncultured bacterium
Lineage: Bacteria
Description: partial 16S ribosomal RNA
Rfam family: Bacterial small subunit ribosomal RNA
Source: RNAcentral
GACGUAGGGCGCGAGCGUUGUCCGGAAUCAUUGGGCGUAAAGCGCGCGUAGGUGGCCCCAUAAGUCCGCUGUGAAAGUCAAAGGCUCAACCUUUGAAAGCCGGUGGAUACUGUGGGACUAGAGUACGGAAGAGGCGAGUGGAAUUCCUGGUGUAGCGGUGGAAUGCGCAGAUAUCAGGAGGAACACCAAUAGCGAAGGCAGCUCGCUGGGCCGUAACUGACGCUGAGGAGCGAAAGCGUGGGGAGCGAACAGG